Small nuclear RNA from Otolemur garnettii (small-eared galago), 104 nucleotides. The record is from Ensembl. Lineage: Eukaryota; Metazoa; Chordata; Mammalia; Primates; Galagidae.
AUGCUCGCUUUGGCAGCACAUGGACUAAAAGUGGAACGAUACAGAGAUCAGCAUGGCCCCUGCGCAUGGAUAACAGACAAAUUCGUGAAGUGUUCCACAUUUUA